Molecule: ribosomal RNA, 1002 nt
Filed under: Lacticaseibacillus casei
Lineage: Bacteria; Bacillati; Bacillota; Bacilli; Lactobacillales; Lactobacillaceae
Description: bacterial SSU rRNA
Rfam family: Bacterial small subunit ribosomal RNA
Source: RNAcentral
GGGGGGUGACGUUAUCCGGAUUUAUUGGGCGUAAGCGAGCGCAGGCGGUUUUUUAAGUCUGAUGUGAAAGCCCUCGGCUUAACCGAGGAAGCGCAUCGGAAACUGGGAAACUUGAGUGCAGAAGAGGACAGUGGAACUCCAUGUGUAGCGGUGAAAUGCGUAGAUAUAUGGAAGAACACCAGUGGCGAAGGCGGCUGUCUGGUCUGUAACUGACGCUGAGGCUCGAAAGCAUGGGUAGCGAACAGGAUUAGAUACCCUGGUAGUCCAUGCCGUAAACGAUGAAUGCUAGGUGUUGGAGGGUUUCCGCCCUUCAGUGCCGCAGCUAACGCAUUAAGCAUUCCGCCUGGGGAGUACGACCGCAAGGUUGAAACUCAAAGGAAUUGACGGGGGCCCGCACAAGCGGUGGAGCAUGUGGUUUAAUUCGAAGCAACGCGAAGAACCUUACCAGGUCUUGACAUCUUUUGAUCACCUGAGAGAUCAGGUUUCCCCUUCGGGGGCAAAAUGACAGGUGGUGCAUGGUUGUCGUCAGCUCGUGUCGUGAGAUGUUGGGUUAAGUCCCGCAACGAGCGCAACCCUUAUGACUAGUUGCCAGCAUUUAGUUGGGCACUCUAGUAAGACUGCCGGUGACAAACCGGAGGAAGGUGGGGAUGACGUCAAAUCAUCAUGCCCCUUAUGACCUGGGCUACACACGUGCUACAAUGGAUGGUACAACGAGUUGCGAGACCGCGAGGUCAAGCUAAUCUCUUAAAGCCAUUCUCAGUUCGGACUGUAGGCUGCAACUCGCCUACACGAAGUCGGAAUCGCUAGUAAUCGCGGAUCAGCACGCCGCGGUGAAUACGUUCCCGGGCCUUGUACACACCGCCCGUCACACCAUGAGAGUUUGUAACACCCGAAGCCGGUGGCGUAACCCUUUUAGGGAGCGAGCCGUCUAAGGUGGGACAAAUGAUUAGGGUGAUCUACAGGGGGGGGGCCCCCACAAAAAAAAAAGCCCAAAAAACCCUG